GAUGAACGCUGGCGGCGUGCCUAAUACAUGCAAGUCGAGCGAACGGACGAGAAGCUUGCUUUUCUGAUGUUAGCGGCGGACGGGUGAGUAACACGUGGAUAACCUACCUAUAAGACUGGGAUAACUUCGGGAAACCGGAGCUAAUACCGGAUAAUAUUUUGAACCGCAUGGUUCAAAAGUGAAAGACGGUCUUGCUGUCACUUAUAGAUGGAUCCGCGCUGCAUUAGCUAGUUGGUAAGGUAACGGCUUACCAAGGCAACGAUGCAUAGCCGACCUGAGAGGGUGAUCGGCCACACUGGAACUGAGACACGGUCCAGACUCCUACGGGAGGCAGCAGUAGGGAAUCUUCCGCAAUGGGCGAAAGCCUGACGGAGCAACGCCGCGUGAGUGAUGAAGGUCUUCGGAUCGUAAAACUCUGUUAUUAGGGAAGAACAUAUGUGUAAGUAACUGUGCACAUCUUGACGGUACCUAAUCAGAAAGCCACGGCUAACUCCGUG
This 497-nucleotide ribosomal RNA is filed under the name uncultured bacterium. RNAcentral's name for it is "partial 16S ribosomal RNA". It matches the Rfam family "Bacterial small subunit ribosomal RNA", at positions 28 to 507 of the family's 1533-position model. The record is from RNAcentral.